This 373-nucleotide ribosomal RNA is filed under the name uncultured bacterium. Its description in RNAcentral is "partial 16S ribosomal RNA". It matches the Rfam family "Bacterial small subunit ribosomal RNA", at positions 867 to 1241 of the family's 1533-position model. The record is from RNAcentral.
GACCGCCUNGGGAGUACGGUCGCAAGAUUAAAACUCAAANGAAUNGACGGGGACCCGCACAAGCGGNGGAUGAUGNGGAUUAAUUCGAUGCAACGNGAAGAACCUUACCUGGUCUUGACANGUACGGAAUCUUCCAGAGACGGAAGAGUGCCUUCGGGAGCCGUAACACAGGUGCUGCAUGGCNGUCGUCAGCUCGNGUCGNGAGAUGUUGGGUUAAGUCCCNCAACGAGCGCAACCCUNGUCAUUAGUUGCCACCAUUCAGUUGGGCACUCUAAUGAGACUGCCGGNGACAAACCGGAGGAAGGUGGGGANNANGUCAAGUCCUCAUGGCCCUUAUGACCAGGGCUUCACACGUCAUACAAUGGUCGGUACA